Molecule: signal recognition particle RNA, 299 nt
Filed under: Cebus imitator (Panamanian white-faced capuchin)
Lineage: Eukaryota; Metazoa; Chordata; Mammalia; Primates; Cebidae
Description: Metazoan signal recognition particle RNA (ENSCCAG00000006157.1)
Rfam family: Metazoan signal recognition particle RNA
About the family: The signal recognition particle (SRP) is a universally conserved ribonucleoprotein. It is involved in the co-translational targeting of proteins to membranes. The eukaryotic SRP consists of a 300-nucleotide 7S RNA and six proteins: SRPs 72, 68, 54, 19, 14, and 9.
Source: RNAcentral
GCUGGGCGCAGUGGCGCGUGCCUGUAGUCCCAGCUACUUGGGAGGCUGAGGUGGGAGGAUCGAUUGAGCCCAGGAGUUCUGGGCUGUAGUGCGCUAUGCCAGUCGGGUGUUCGCACUAAGUUCGGCAUAAAUAUGGUGAACUCCCAGGAGCAGGGUACCACCAGGUCUCCUAAGGAGGGGUGAACCGGCCCAGGUCAGAAACUGAGCAGGUCAAAACUCCGGUGUUGAUCAGUAGUGGCAUUGCGCCUGUGAAUAGCCACUGCACUCCAGCCUGGGCAACAUAGCGAGACCCGGUCUCU